Molecule: long non-coding RNA, 905 nt
Organism: Odontomachus brunneus
Lineage: Eukaryota; Metazoa; Arthropoda; Insecta; Hymenoptera; Formicidae
Exons: 2
Source: RefSeq, a predicted model, not a curated record
UUUGCCCCAAAUACAGGAAGUCUCGUCAAUAAUUGCAUUGUGAAAUCGCAUUAUGAUGUAUUUUAUGUAAAUUGACAUUUAUUCCUCGCGUGAUAUAUAACAUUCAAUAGCGCAGUUUCUAUUUUGAUCGUAACAGGAUUAGCGUCUUAAAUAAUUCUGUUUUAGAAUUAUCGAAACAGAAUCUGAAUUAUUUCUUAAAGUAACUUGCAGAUUAGGCGAAAUUGUUCAAUGUAAAUUUAGUUUAGAGUAAUGAGUAAUAAGAUAGAAAUGUAUGCAGUUUGCGCAAACAUCCAUCCAGUUAUCUAGUAUUAAUUCAUUCUCAUUAGUUGUAAACAUACUGAGUGCGAAGUAGACAAGAAUUUAAUAAAGUUCUAUUUAAUGUAUAUAAUAUAUAUUAUUUACACAUUUUUCACAGAAAACAAGAUAAUCUGUGACUGAAAUGACUCGGGAGUGAUUCUUCUUUCGUAGAUCUUCCUCGUCGAGUAUUUCGGUCUUCGAGUCCAAAAUGGAACCCUUGCACACCCAAAGCUGAACCGUCCUUUCACUCUUCGAUCUUACUGUUGGGAUACGCCACGGGAUCCCACAUGUGAUGGCUGCCAUCACCUCUCUUCGUCACGACGGACAUCACGAGUUGUUGCGACGGUUGCUUCAAGUCGUACGCCCAGCCGAUUUUCGCGAAGAAGUCGAUAAACAUCGUCGUGAUGUUUAGCAUGUAAUUGCCCAAUUCGUCCGCUUUAUAAUCCCACGGGAACACAUGAUGAUAAUUGUGCCAGCCCUCGCCGUACGUCAGAAAAGCAACCAGCUUAUUAUUCGCCGGAUUAAUGUGUCUGUUAUUAAAAUAGUUUGUAUUAAUACUUUGACUGCAAUUCCCACUUAAUGAAGAUGCAUCCCUGAUGUGAAAGUAA